This 72-nucleotide transfer RNA is filed under the name Camelus bactrianus (Bactrian camel). It matches the Rfam family "tRNA". From Rfam's summary of the family: Transfer RNA (tRNA) molecules are approximately 80 nucleotides in length. Lineage: Eukaryota; Metazoa; Chordata; Mammalia; Artiodactyla; Camelidae. RNAcentral also lists the same sequence under 3 other names. The record is from Rfam by way of RNAcentral.
GAGGGUAUAGCUCAGUGGUAGAGUGUGUGCUUAGCACACACAAGGUCCUGGGUUCAAUCCCCAGUCCCUCCA